GCUUCAAUCGAUUAACGGUUAAAUCACGCCCUUCACAAAAGCUCAACUUUCGGGCGAGCCCCCGGUUCGAUUCCGGGUUGAAGCA
Molecule: non-coding RNA, 85 nt
Organism: Ustilago trichophora
Lineage: Eukaryota; Fungi; Basidiomycota; Ustilaginomycetes; Ustilaginales; Ustilaginaceae
Source: the annotation of a GenBank genome assembly